Molecule: small nuclear RNA, 193 nt
Filed under: Chinchilla lanigera (long-tailed chinchilla)
Lineage: Eukaryota; Metazoa; Chordata; Mammalia; Rodentia; Chinchillidae
Description: U2 spliceosomal RNA (ENSCLAG00000020859.1)
Rfam family: U2 spliceosomal RNA
About the family: U2 is a small nuclear RNA (snRNA) component of the spliceosome (involved in pre-mRNA splicing). Complementary binding between U2 snRNA (in an area lying towards the 5' end but 3' to hairpin I) and the branchpoint sequence (BPS) of the intron results the bulging out of an unpaired adenosine, on the BPS, which initiates a nucleophilic attack at the intronic 5' splice site, thus starting the first of two transesterification reactions that mediate splicing.
Source: Rfam by way of RNAcentral
AUCGCUUCUGGGCCUUUUGCCUAAGCCCAAGUGUAGUAUCUGUUCUUAUCAAGUUUAAUAUCUGGUAUGUCCUCUAUCUGUGGACAAUAUAGUAAAUGGAUUUUUUGGAGCUGAGAGAGGGACUAGGAGCUUGCUCCGUCCACUGCAUGCAUCGACGUGGUAUUGCAGUACCUCCAGGAACAGUGCACCCCCC